This 5002-nucleotide long non-coding RNA is filed under the name Homo sapiens (human). Its description in RNAcentral is "non-protein coding lnc-UBLCP1-2:12". The record is from RNAcentral. Lineage: Eukaryota; Metazoa; Chordata; Mammalia; Primates; Hominidae.
GCGAGACGGUACCCGCGCCCCACAGUCCACCCGCUCCUCGGAGUCCCCCCGCGCCCCGGAGUCCACCCGCGCCCCGGAGUCCACCCGCGCAGGUCCACUUCUCCAUCCCUGCUCUCGACCUCCGCCCCUGCGGUGGGGGAAGUUCCUGGGGCGGUGGCUGGGACCAGGCCGGGUUUUAGGCGGGCGCAGAUUUCCGGGCUAACUUUCCUCGCCGUCUCAGCGCGGGAAGGGGGAAAUGGGAAACCCGGGCCAGAGCAGCGGAGCUUCCCAGCCGCACACUUCCUCCCUCCAGCCGUUUGUCUCGGCAGGGGAGGGCCCAGGCAGCCAAGCCGGCAGGCCCACUGGUUAUCCGACCUUGUGCUCUGGCCGUGGGUGGAGACCUUACAUCCAGCUCAGAGCGCCUCCUCCCAUCCCCUGUGUCCUCUAGGCCUCCCCAGACUUUGCCUUUUAGCCUUCCAGUGAAACAAGUUCUGUAUCCAAGAUAUACAAUUAAGUGGACAAAGCAGAUUGCAGAAAGUCUUUUCGUAGCUCACAAGGGGACAUCAAAGAUGACAAAGAGGAGUGGAAGAAGACAGAGAGAAUCAAUGUGAGGAGCCUGGAACAGGGCUCUGAAUUGUCUUCCCACAGUGAAAUCACUUGUCUAUUGCUGAGCCAAGAAUUUGACUCUGAGCAUCUAGGAUGAGAAAGAAGAACUGGCACCUACGCCAUCUCUGCCCCUCGGGACUGACUAUUUUGUCUUCUAGUAAAAUUGAUGCUCCAAGAAGAUACACAACGUUGACCAUGUGGAUUCAGAUAUCUCCCGCUUGGAUCUCAGCCUGGAUCUUGUUGUUUGAGAAGCAUAGAUUAGCUACAGAAUGCCAUGUCAUACAUCCAAUAAAAUUCAACUCUGCAAGCAUGAGAGAGAAGAGGAAGGAAAAGAGAGAAUCUGAAGUAGUUGGAUCACUAGAGGGCAAUAUCGGCCAAGAGAAAGAAGAAUUCUUCACCACCGUUUCUAGGACUGGUGAAGGUGCAUAUUUAUAAAAAACUUCCCACAGUAUUCCAAAGUAGAUGUGCCAUUUUAUCCUCCAAACAGCAAUGUAUUAGAGUUCCAGUGGUUUCCAAAGCCCCUGUCAACAUUUGGAUUGUCCGUCUUUUUUGAUUUUAGCCAUCCUAAUGGCAAAAGCCAUCUCCCAUGUAACCACAUGCUUCAGGAGAAGCUGACCCUACACCUAGCUCCACUGAAAACCAUAAGAAAGGAAUGUCAUGCCUAUAAUUGCUGCAGCUAUUUUAAUUCCAAGUAUGAGGUUGAAACAAUCAUGGAUGGCCAAGUGAAGAGAUGGAAAAAGCAGGAUUCAGGAUAACUUUGUGAGUUGCUAAGUUACCAGCCCCUGCCCUACUUCUGGACUUCUGAAAUAUGAUAUGAUACUUGCUUUCUUACUUAAGUUGGGUUUUUCUGUUACUUAUAGCCAAUGACACUCCGAUAUGCCAUGAAAUUUAAGAAUGUGAAGUAAUGGCCUUGACUUUCGCAGAACUGGAAGGAGUGUGACUGCCAUGUCACUUACUGUCACUAUCACUUGUUUGACAAUUACGGCUGCUAUUUAUCUUACCUUGUGUUGUUGCUUAUCCUUCCAUAUGAUUAUGUUGAAUAUCCAUCUAAUCUGGAACUUUAAAAAAUCAAAGUCAGUGAUAGAUCUUUUACUUCUUUGUAGGCCCAUAAUCCAUUACAUAACCCACACAUUUUUGUCAAUUAUUGACUUCCCCCUUAUUCUACCCACAUAGAUUUUUUUGGAAGAUGACCAAAAUGCUAUCUCUAUUUGGAGAUAAUAAUUAGUCUCAUCUUCAUUGGCUUCUUCUCGAAUGCGGAGGGAAUUAUCGGAUGAGUACAUUGGAACAUGGUCGCCAUGUGGCCUGCUGCCCCCGUGUACCACUUGGAGACCAGCCUAGCAUGGAAAUGACCAGAUGUUGGAAGCUGAGCUACUGGUGAGUGAAAUAAAUAAGUUAGCUGUCCCACUUCCCAUCUGCAUGGACAGCUUCUGCAUUGCGAAACUGCAGGUGCUUGUCAUUUCACAUGGCAGCAGUUAAUCUCUUAACCCCUUCCUAAACUUGGCAUUGGAAAGCCCUAGAUGGCCAAUUAGGCUGUGUGGGUGUAUGUACACUAGUGCCCAUCUGCCACAGGAAUGGAAGCAGUGGCUCAACUCACAUCAGUACCCAGAUACACAGAUGCUCCGGGAUCUGAGGAAGUGACCUAUAGAAAAUGAAAAAUGACCAGGUAAAGGCAAUACGAAGGGAAGUAGAGGGGCUUAUUAGGCAGCUCUGGACAAGCAGAGAAAAGUGAUGGUUCAACACGUAGGGUGCGCCAAAAAUGGGCUUGUUUCACUGGUUAUUUGAACACAGAAGCAGGGCUGUCUCCCUCUCUCUCUCUCUUUCUCUCCAUUCAUUAAUUAUUUUUCUGAGUAGGCUAAUAAUAUAUGCUUUUUGUGAAACAUUUGAGAAAUGGAAGAAAGUAUAAGAAAAAAAUAAAAAUCACUUAUACAUGUAUCUUCUAAUAUUUCAUUAUAUCUAUACAGGCCCUUUUCUUUCUAGUUUUGUGAUCAUUUAUUCAGUCAACAUUUCCACAAAUAUUUAAUGCAUUUUGUAUGUGUCAGGCACCAUACCAGGCACUAAGAAUAUAGUCGUGAUCAAUAAUUGGCAUAAUUCCUUAUCUCAUAGAACUUUGGGUCUAGCAGAAGUGACAUAUAAACACACAACUGCAUUAAGAAUUAUUUAAUCUCAAAUUUCACAAGCUCUGCAAAGAACAAGUACUAAGUCUUCGGGAAGAAUUGGGAAGUCUGGAUGUAGGGAGUGAACCUAAAAGAAAAACUUUGAAGCUGAGACUAGACUAGUCAGAAACUGCUGGCCAGGGGUGAAUGUGUUGGUCCUAGAGGGGUAGAGUAGGGGCACGCUAGGAAUAGAAAGGAAAAUUGCUGGUGGAGGGAACAGCUUGCCUGAGGUCCUGAUGAGGAGACAGUGACUAGAUGGGGGUGAAAUGGCUUUGUGGAAAUUAGAAAGAAAAAUAGGAGCCAGAUCCUACAAGACAAGUGUUGACAAACAAUAGCCCAGAGGCCAAAUCCAGCACCCCACCUGUUUUUGUAAAUAAAAUUUUAUUGGAACAGAGCCACACCCACUCAUUUAUAUGUCUGUGGUUGUUUUCACACCAUGCUGGCAGUGAUGAAUAGUUGUUACAGAGACUGCAGGGUCCACAUAGCUUAAAAUAUUUACUAUCUGGCCCUUUCCAGAAAACUUUGCUGACCUCUGCUAUGGGGUUUUGUGGCUGAGCGUAUGGUGGAAUUCUUUUAUCACAAGUACAAUGGAAAGGCUUUGAGACGAAAGCAAGGAAGACAUCAUCAGAUUUUUCUUUAAAAGAACUCUAGCUAUGGAAGCAUGUAGAGAUUAGAACUGGGGACUCUGGGUGGAUAUUGGGCAUCUAAGAGUAUCCAGGAGACAGUGGUUGAUGGUUUGGACUCCAUUUGUGCCAAGUGGGCACAGGAAAAAAGAGACAGAUUUGAGAUCUCUUUAGCAUUUGUAUCAGACAGGACUUGGUGGCUGAUUGGGGAGGGGAAGUAAGGAUAGAGAGGUGUUCAGGAACACCCAGGUUUCUGCCUGGUGCACCUGCAUGGAUGAGGGUGUCAUCAACCAGAUGGGGAGCCAUGGAGGAGAAGCAAGAUUGAGAGGGAAAGUCAGGAGGUUUUAGUGCCUGUCUAGUUUAAUCACAAUGGGUAAUACAAUAAAUCCCCUAUUAAUGAACAUGUAGAUUUUUUCUAUUAUUUUUCUUUUUUAAAUAAUGCUGCAAUGCAGCAAAAGGAACAGUCAGCAGAGUAAAUAGACAACCCACAGAGUGGGAGAAAUCUUCACAAUCUAUACAUCUGGCAAAGAACUAAUAUCCAGAAUCUACAGCGAACUCAAACAAAUCAGUAAGAAAAAAUAAACAAUCCCAUCAAAAAGUGGGCUAAGCACAUGAGUAGACAAUUCUCGAAAGAAGACAUACAAAUGGCCAACAAACAUAUGAAAAAAAUGCUCAAAAUCACUAAUGAUCAGGGAAAUGCAAAUCAAAACCACAAUGCAAUACAACCUUACUCCUGCAAGAAUGACCAUAAUAAAAAAAUAAAAAAAAUUAGAUGUUGGACUGGAGGCAGUGAACAGGGAACACUUCUACACUCCUGGUGGGAAUGUUAACUAGUACAGCCAGUAUGGAAAACACUGCGGAGAUUCCUUAAAGAACUGAAAGUAGAACUACCAUUUGAUCCAGCAAUCCCACUACUGGGUAUCUACCCAGAGGAAAAGAAGUCAUUAUUUGAAAAAGACACUUGCACAGGCAUGUUUAUAGUGGCACAAUUCACAAUAGCAAAAUCGUGGAAGCAACCCAAAUGCCCAUCAGUCGACGAAUGAAUAAAGAAACUGUAUAUAUAUAUAUAUAUAUAUAUAUAUAUAUAUAUAUAUACACACACACAUAUAUAUACACACACACAUAUAUAAACAUAUAUGUAUAUACACACAUAUAUAAACAUAUAUAUACGCAUACAUAUACAUACACACACACACACACACACACACACACACACACAAUGGAAUACUAUGCAGCCAUAAAAAGGAAUGAAUUGACAGCAUUUGCAGUGACCUGGAUGACAUUGGAGACUAUUAUUCUAAGUUAAGUAACUCAGGAAUGGCAAAGCAAACAUCAUAUGUUCUCACUGUUACGUGAGAGCUAAGCUACAAGGAUGCAAAGGCAUAAGAAUGAUACAAUGGACUUUGGGGACUUGGGGGAAAGGGUGGGAGGGGAGCAAGGGAUAAGAGACUACAAAUAUAGUGUGGUGUGUACCGCUCGGGUGAUGGGUGCACCAAAAUCUCACAAAUCACCACUAAAGAACUUACUCAUGUAACCAAACACCACCUGUACCCAAAUAACUUAUGGAAAAAAUAAAAUAAAAUAAAAAUAAUGCUGUGAUGAAUUCAUUUGUGCAUAUAUCUCAUUGUUUCCUUAGACUAC